This 914-nucleotide small RNA is filed under the name Pan troglodytes (chimpanzee). RNAcentral describes it as "retained intron". Lineage: Eukaryota; Metazoa; Chordata; Mammalia; Primates; Hominidae. The record is from RNAcentral.
CGCCGUGAACAUGGAGCCCCCGGACGCACCGGCCCAGGCGCGCGGGGCCCCGCGGCUGCUGUUGCUCGCAGUCCUGCUGGCGGCGCACCCAGAUGCCCAGGCGGAGGUGCGCUUGUCUGUGCCCCCGCUGGUGGAGGUGAUGCGAGGAAAUUCUGUCAUUCUGGACUGCACCCCUACGGGAACCCACGACCAUUAUAUGCUGGAAUGGUUCCUUGUGAGUGCUUGGGGCUGGGGGGCCUGGAGUCAGGGCACAGCAGGGCAGCAAAGGUUCAUUCUCUCAUCAGUGCCUAAGGCCUGUAGAGAUCCACCAAGCCACACUCCUUGUUACAGAUGGGGUCACUGAGUCCCACUGAGGGGAAGGGAUCUGCAAGGUGCCCCGUGUCUAGGCACAGCCAAGUCUAGAAUGACAUUGACCUGCUCUGGACUGCGGGCUCUUGAGAGAGAGAACAGAGACAGACAUCAAGAAAGCAGAAGCCAGGCACGGUGGCUCACGCCUGUAAUCCCAGCACUUUGGGAGGCCGAGGCGGGUGGAUCACGAGGUCAAGAGAUCAAGACUGUCCUGACCAACAUGGUGAAACCCCGUCUCUACUAAAAAUACAAAAAUUAGCUGGGCGUGAUGGCAUGUGCCUGUAAUCCCAGCUACUCAGGAGGCUGAGGCAGGAGAAUCGCUUGAACCUGGGAGGUAGAGGUUGCAGUGAGCCGAGAUCGAGCCAAUGCUCUCCAGCCAGGCGACAGAGCAAGACUCUAUCUCAAAAAAAAAGAGGAAAGAAAAUGAGAGACAAUCGGGAGAGGGAGAGACCGAGAGGAGAAGGGAUGGGACCGGAAUGAGAUGGAGAAAAGGAGACAGGAAAAAUCAAGAACUGAUAGGGAAUGGGGGCAGGAGAAGGUGGGGAGGGACAGAGGGACCAGGGAGA